GCUGAAGAACGUAGCGAAAUGCGAUACUUGGCGUGAAUUGCAGAAUCCCGUGAACCAUCGAGUCUUUGAACGCAAGUUGCGCCCGAAGCCAUUAGGCCGAGGGCACGCCUGCCUGGGCGUCACACGUCGUUGCCCCCCCCAUCUACUCCUUCGGGAUUGCGGGGGGCGGAUGAUGGCCUCCCGUGCGCCUCGCCGCGCGGUUGGCAUAAAUGCCAAGUCCUCGGCGACGCACGCCACGACAAUCGGUGGUUGCGAAACCUCGGUUGCCCGUCGUGUGCGGUCGUCGCGCAUCGAGGGCUCGAAAAAAUUGCCGAGUUCCGGCUCGGCUUUCAACGCGACCCCAGGUCAGGCGGGGUUACCCGCUGAAUUUAAGCAUAUCAAUAAGCGGAGGA
This 392-nucleotide unclassified non-coding RNA is filed under the name soil metagenome. RNAcentral describes it as "partial contains 5.8S ribosomal RNA, internal transcribed spacer 2, and large subunit ribosomal RNA". The stretch from base 3 to 122 matches the Rfam family "5.8S ribosomal RNA", at positions 37 to 154 of the family's 154-position model. The record is from RNAcentral.